GGGCGAUUAGCUCAGUUGGGAGAGCACCUGCCUUACAAGCAGGGGGUCGGCAGUUCGAGCCUGUCAUCGCCCACCA
This 76-nucleotide transfer RNA is filed under the name Syntrophomonas curvata. RNAcentral's name for it is "tRNA-Val". It matches the Rfam family "tRNA". Rfam says of the family: Transfer RNA (tRNA) molecules are approximately 80 nucleotides in length. Their secondary structure includes four short double-helical elements and three loops (D, anti-codon, and T loops). The record is from RNAcentral. Lineage: Bacteria; Bacillati; Bacillota; Clostridia; Eubacteriales; Syntrophomonadaceae. RNAcentral also lists the same sequence under 6 other names.